RNAcentral lists this ribosomal RNA (460 nucleotides) under uncultured bacterium. RNAcentral's name for it is "partial 16S ribosomal RNA". It matches the Rfam family "Bacterial small subunit ribosomal RNA", at positions 338 to 795 of the family's 1533-position model. The record is from RNAcentral.
CCUACGGGCGGCAGCAGUGAGGAAUAUUGGUCAAUGGACGAGCGUCUGAUCCAGCCAUGUAGCGUGAAGGAUGACUGCCCUCUGGGUUGUAAACUUCUUUUAUAAAGGAAUAAAACGAGGCACGUGUGCCUUUUUGCAUGUACUUUAUGAAUAAGGAUCGGCUAACUCCGUGCCAGCCGCCGCGGUAAUACGGAGGACCCGAGCGUUAUCCGGAUUUAUUGGGUUUAAAGGGAGCGUAGAUGGGUUGUUAAGUUAGUUGUGAAAUGUUGCGGCGCAACCGUAAAAUUGCAAGUGAUACUGGCAGUCUUGAGUACAGUAGAGGUAGGUGGAAUUCGUGGUGUAGCGGUGAAAUGCUUAGAUAUCACGAAGAACCCCGAUUGCGAAGGCAGCUUACUAAACUGUGACUGACAUUGAUGCUCGAAAGUGUGGGUAUCAAACAGGAUUAGAUACCCUUGUAGUC